UACAGGGGGUGCAAACGUUGCUCGGAAUCAUUGGGCGUAAAGCGCACGUAGGCGGUCUGUUACGUCGGAUGUGAAAGCCCUUGGCUCAACUGAGGAAGUGCAUCCGAAACUGGCAGGCUAGAGUACGAAAGAGGAUCGCGGAAUUCCCGGUGUAGAGGUGAAAUUCGUAGAUAUCGGGAGGAACACCGGUGGCGAAGGCGGCGAUCUGGGUCGAUACUGACGCUGAGGUGCGAAAGCGUGGGGAGCAAACAGG
Molecule: ribosomal RNA, 253 nt
Filed under: uncultured bacterium
Lineage: Bacteria
Description: partial 16S ribosomal RNA
Rfam family: Bacterial small subunit ribosomal RNA
Source: RNAcentral